Molecule: ribosomal RNA, 693 nt
Filed under: Microthecium fallax
Lineage: Eukaryota; Fungi; Ascomycota; Sordariomycetes; Coronophorales; Ceratostomataceae
Description: SSU rRNA
Rfam family: Bacterial small subunit ribosomal RNA
Source: RNAcentral
AAUGGCCUAACGGCUGAACUGGCAACUUGGAGAAGUGAUAAGUCUUAUAAAUUAAUAUUUUAUAUUAAGUUAUAGGAUUGAAUUGUAAAAAUGAAACUUUGUUUAUAUAUUGAUAAUGACAGUAUAUAUAUAAUGUCUUGACUAAUUGCGUGCCAGCAGUCGCGGUAAUACGUAAGAGACUAGUGUUAUUCAUCUUAAUUAGGUUUAAAGGGUACCCAAACGGUCAAAAUAGCUUCUAGAAUGUUAGUAAUUGACUAGAGUUUUAUAUAAGAGAGCAGUACUUGAGGAGGAAAGUUGAAAUUUAUUGAUACCAAAGGGACUCUGUAAAGGCGAAGGCAGCUCUCUAUGUAAUAACUGACGUUGAAGGACGAAGGCACAGAGAACAAACAGGAUUAGAUACCUUAGUAGUCUUUGCAGUAAAUGAUGAAUGCCAUAGGUCAGAAUAAGUAUAAAAUACGAUUUGGUCUAUAAAUGAAAGUGUAAGCAUUUCACCUCAAGAGUAAUGUGGCAACGCAGGAACUGAAAUCACUAGACCGUUUCUGACAUCAGUAGUGAAGUAUGUUGUUUAAUUCGAUGAUCCACGAAAAACCUUACCACAAUUUGAAUAAUUUUAUUACAGGAGUUGCACGGCUGUUUCCAGUUGGUGUUGUGAAACUAUGGUUUACAUAGGAACUAACGUUGUCCUUGGCUUUA